AAGGAUCAUUACCUAGAGUUUGUGGGCUUUGCCUGCUAUCUCUUACCCAUGUCUUUUGAGUACUUACGUUUCCUCGGCGGGUCCGCCCGCCGAUUGGACAAAAUUAAACCCUUUGCAGUUGCAAUCAGCGUCUGAAAAACAUAAUAGUUACAACUUUCAACAACGGAUCUCUUGGUUCUGGCAUCGAUGAAGAACGCAGCGAAAUGCGAUAAGUAGUGUGAAUUGCAGAAUUCAGUGAAUCAUCGAAUCUUUGAACGCACAUUGCGCCCCUUGGUAUUCCAUGGGGCAUGCCUGUUCGAGCGUCAUUUGUACCUUCAAGCUCUGCUUGGUGUUGGGUGUUUGUCUCGCCUUUGCGUGUAGACUCGCCUCAAAACAAUUGGCAGCCGGCGUAUUGAUUUCGGAGCGCAGUACAUCUCGCGCUUUGCACUCAUAACGACGACGUCCAAAAAGUACAUUUUUACACUCUUGACCUCGGAUCAGGUAGGGAUACCCGCUGAACUUAAG
Molecule: ribosomal RNA, 504 nt
Filed under: Dothiorella sp. HL80
Lineage: Eukaryota; Fungi; Ascomycota; Dothideomycetes; Botryosphaeriales; Botryosphaeriaceae
Description: eukaryotic LSU rRNA
Rfam family: 5.8S ribosomal RNA (bases 152-305)
Source: RNAcentral